AUUGAACGCUGGCGGCAUGCCUUACACAUGCAAGUCGAACGGCAGCACGGGAGCAAUCCUGGUGGCGAGUGGCGAACGGGUGAGUAAUAUAUCGGAACGUGCCCAGUCGUGGGGGAUAACGUAGCGAAAGCUACGCUAAUACCGCAUACGAUCUACGGAUGAAAGCGGGGGAUCGCAAGACCUCGCGCGAUUGGAGCGGCCGAUAUCAGAUUAGCUAGUUGGUGGGGUAAAAGCUCACCAAGGCGACGAUCUGUAGCUGGUCUGAGAGGACGACCAGCCACACUGGAACUGAGACACGGUCCAGACUCCUACGGGAGGCAGCAGUGGGGAAUUUUGGACAAUGGGCGCAAGCCUGAUCCAGCAAUGCCGCGUGCAGGAUGAAGGCCUCGGUUGUAACUGCUUUGUUACGGAACGAAACGGUAGGAAGCUCUAAUAAAGACUGUCUAACUAGACGGUACCGUAACGUAAUAAGACACCGGCUACUAACGU
Molecule: ribosomal RNA, 489 nt
Filed under: uncultured bacterium
Lineage: Bacteria
Description: bacterial SSU rRNA
Rfam family: Bacterial small subunit ribosomal RNA
Source: RNAcentral